GCAUCAUGAUUUACAUUUGAGUGAGUGGCGAACUGGUGAGUAACACGUGGGAAACCUGCCCAGAAGCGGGGGAUAACACCUGGAAACAGAUGCUAAUACCGCAUAACAACUUGGACCGCAUGGUCCGAGUUUGAAAGAUGGCUUCGGCUAUCACUUUUGGAUGGUCCCGCGGCGUAUUAGCUAGAUGGUGGGGUAACGGCUCACCAUGGCAAUGAUACGUAGCCGACCUGAGAGGGUAAUCGGCCACAUUGGGACUGAGACACGGCCCAAACUCCUACGGGAGGCAGCAGUAGGGAAUCUUCCACAAUGGACGAAAGUCUGAUGGAGCAACGCCGCGUGAGUGAAGAAGGGUUUCGGCUCGUAAAACUCUGUUGUUAAAGAAGAACAUAUCUGAGAGUAACUGUUCAGGUAUUGACGGUAUUUAACCAGAAAGCCACGGCUAACUACGUGCCAGCAGCCGCGGUAAUACGUAGGUGGCAAGCGUUGUCCGGAUUUAUUGGGCGUAAAGCGAGCGCAGGCGGUUUUUUAAGUCUGAUGUGAAAGCCUUCGGCUCAACCGAAGAAGUGCAUCGGAAACUGGGAAACUUGAGUGCAGAAGAGGACAGUGGAACUCCAUGUGUAGCGGUGAAAUGCGUAGAUAUAUGGAAGAACACCAGUGGCGAAGGCGGCUGUCUGGUCUGUAACUGACGCUGAGGCUCGAAAGUAUGGGUAGCAAACAGGAUUAGAUACCCUGGUAGUCCAUACCGUAAACGAUGAAUGCUAAGUGUUGGAGGGUUUCCGCCCUUCAGUGCUGCAGCUAACGCAUUAAGCAUUCCGCCUGGGGAGUACGGCCGCAAGGCUGAAACUCAAAGGAAUUGACGGGGGCCCGCACAAGCGGUGGAGCAUGUGGUUUAAUUCGAAGCUACGCGAAGAACCUUACCAGGUCUUGACAUACUAUGCAAAUCUAAGAGAUUAGACGUUCCCUUCGGGGACAUGGAUACAGGUGGUGCAUGGUUGUCGUCAGCUCGUGUCGUGAGAUGUUGGGUUAAGUCCCGCAACGAGCGCAACCCUUAUUAUCAGUUGCCAGCAUUAAGUUGGGCACUCUGGUGAGACUGCCGGUGACAAACCGGAGGAAGGUGGGGAUGACGUCAAAUCAUCAUGCCCCUUAUGACCUGGGCUACACACGUGCUACAAUGGAUGGUACAACGAGUUGCGAACUCGCGAGAGUAAGCUAAUCUCUUAAAGCCAUUCUCAGUUCGGAUUGUAGGCUGCAACUCGCCUACAUGAAGUCGGAAUCGCUAGUAAUCGCGGAUCAGCAUGCCGCGGUGAAUACGUUCCCGGGCCUUGUACACACCGCCCGUCACACCAUG
Molecule: ribosomal RNA, 1348 nt
Filed under: uncultured Lactobacillus sp.
Lineage: Bacteria; Bacillati; Bacillota; Bacilli; Lactobacillales; Lactobacillaceae
Description: bacterial SSU rRNA
Rfam family: Bacterial small subunit ribosomal RNA
Source: RNAcentral